GCUCACACAAGCGGUGGAGCAUGUUGCUUAAUUCGAUGCAACGCGAAGAACCUUAUCCUGGGCUUGACAUAUUUGGAUGCCUACUGGGAAACCAGGUCGGCUACCCUUCGGGGUGAAACUUAUACAGGUGCUGCAUGGCUGUCGUCAGCUCGUGUCGUGAGAUGUUGGGUUAAGUCCCGUAACGAGCGAAACCCUUGUCUUUAGUUGCCAGCGAGUAAUGUCGGGGACUCUAGAGAGACUGCCGGUGUCAAACCGGAGGAAGGUGGGGAUGACGUCAAGUCCUCAUGGCCUUUAUGCCCAGGGCUGCAAACGUGCUACAAUGGCGUGUACAAACCGACGCGAGACCGUGAGGUGGAGCAAAUCGGAAAAAGCACGCCCCAGUUCGGAUUGAAGUCUGCAACUCGACUUCAUGAAGUUGGAAUCGCUAGUAAUCGCGUGUCAGCGNACGCGGUG
Molecule: ribosomal RNA, 453 nt
Filed under: uncultured bacterium
Lineage: Bacteria
Description: bacterial SSU rRNA
Rfam family: Bacterial small subunit ribosomal RNA
Source: RNAcentral